UACGUAGGUGGCGAGCGUUGUCCGGAUUUACUGGGCGUAAAGGGAGCGUAGGCGGAUAUCUAAGUGGGAUGUGAAAUACCCGGGCUCAACCUGGGUGCUGCAUUCCAAACUGGAUAUCUAGAGUGCAGGAGGGGAAAGUGGAAUUCCUAGUGUAGCGGUGAAAUGCGUAGAGAUUAGGAAGAACACCAGUGGCGAAGGCGACUUUCUGGACUGUAACUGACGCUGAGGCUCGAAAGCGUGGGGAG
RNAcentral lists this ribosomal RNA (245 nucleotides) under uncultured bacterium. RNAcentral's name for it is "partial 16S ribosomal RNA". It matches the Rfam family "Bacterial small subunit ribosomal RNA", at positions 524 to 768 of the family's 1533-position model. The record is from RNAcentral.